AUGAAACAAAGUGUUGGUCACUCAAUCGACGCAUUAAACGCUAUCGAGCUCGCGAGACAGUGUCAUCAAAAAGAUGCUUUGCAUAAAUGAUCAUUCAGCGCGCAUAUCGUUUUAGCCUCGGCGAGUUUCGUCGUGUCAUUCUGUCAUCGAGAGCUCAAAUCGUGUUAUUGAUCAUCCGAUUUGUUUACGCGUGUAAGAAUACACGCUCAGGUAUAUUUCAUUCUGAUGCGAUCGAGCCUAUAUAUGAAUCUGCGAAUCCCCGCUUUAUCUUAUCGUGAGUCACACUGCUAGUCUAACACGUAUCUCAUAUCUAUACGCUGUUUUUAUCAGCGAUCCUUUCGAUGCGCAUAUAUAAUUGUAACGCCGAGAUUAGAUCGUAUAGUUACUUUUUAAGUACGAGUGCCAAUCGUUUUUUUUUUUCUCACUUUUUUAAGUAAUAAUAACGUGCAAUAUUUGCCGAGCUGCGUUGGAAAAUAAUAGCCAUAAUACUGCGCAUAUUCGUUUAACUUCUUUAUGGCAAAGAACUCCUGUACUCUAAUUUAUGGAUUUUUCACGGAUAUAAAUAAUCAUUAUUCAAGAGUAUUUUACCCUACAUAAUGCUAAUUCAUUUGUAUCGAGUUACAUAAUCGAAGAGCACAAAAUCCUCCUGAGCCUACGCCUACAGCACCAUAAUUCGAAUUAGAAGUUAUGAAUUUCACCGAAGAAAUGCGUUAUAGCGUGAGUAUAGAGUUAUGCUACAGGUAGACACGUUUAAGAAAGGCGGAAAGGAAGGAGAUACGAGCGAAGGAAAUAUCAUUCAGGCGCCAGGUUAACGUAACGCGCGCGUCUUCUUCUAAGUAUGACGCCGAGUAUGUAGUGCAUCGAUGCUGUGAACUAUUAAACGUGAGAGAGAGAGAGAGAGAGAAAAAAAAACAGGAUAAAAAGGAGUUAGUCUACCUAGUAGAAUGGAGAUGAGAAGGCGCAACGCAUCCGUAGGCGCGCCAACGAGCUCCGCCAAACUUCCCAGGAGUCCAGGAACCCGAU
This is a long non-coding RNA of Nasonia vitripennis (jewel wasp), 1023 nucleotides long. RefSeq lists it as uncharacterized. NCBI's taxonomy places the organism in Eukaryota, Metazoa, Arthropoda, Insecta, Hymenoptera, Pteromalidae. The record is from RefSeq and is a predicted model, not a curated record. The transcript has 2 exons.